This 472-nucleotide ribosomal RNA is filed under the name uncultured bacterium. Its description in RNAcentral is "partial 16S ribosomal RNA". It matches the Rfam family "Bacterial small subunit ribosomal RNA", at positions 28 to 507 of the family's 1533-position model. The record is from RNAcentral.
GGCGAACGCUGGCGGCGUGCUUAACACAUGCAAGUCGAACGCUGAAGCUUGGUGCUUGCACUGGGUGGAUGAGUGGCGAACGGGUGAGUAAUACGUGAGUAACCUGCCCUUGACUCUGGGAUAAGCCUGGGAAACUGGGUCUAAUACUGGAUACGACAUGUCACCGCAUGGUGGUGUGCGGAAAGGGUUUUACUGGUUUUGGAUGGGCUCACGGCCUAUCAGCUUGUUGGUGGGGUAAUGGCUCACCAAGGCGACGACGGGUAGCCGGCCUGAGAGGGUGACCGGCCACACUGGGACUGAGACACGGCCCAGACUCCUACGGGAGGCAGCAGUGGGGAAUAUUGCACAAUGGGCGGAAGCCUGAUGCAGCGACGCCGCGUGAGGGAUGACGGCCUUCGGGUUGUAAACCUCUUUCAGCACGGAAGAAGCGAAAGUGACGGUACGUGCAGAAGAAGCGCCGGCUAACUACGUG